RNAcentral lists this transfer RNA (88 nucleotides) under Candidatus Methanosuratincola sp. Its description in RNAcentral is "Candidatus Methanosuratus sp. tRNA-His". It matches the Rfam family "tRNA". Rfam says of the family: Transfer RNA (tRNA) molecules are approximately 80 nucleotides in length. Their secondary structure includes four short double-helical elements and three loops (D, anti-codon, and T loops). Lineage: Archaea; Thermoproteati; Thermoproteota; Methanosuratincolia; Candidatus Methanomethylicales; Candidatus Methanomethylicaceae. The record is from RNAcentral.
GCCCCCGAAGGGUAGCGGUUAUCCCGGAGGCCUGUGGCGCGCAAGCGCAGAGAGCCUCAGUUCGCGGGUUCGAUCCCCGCCCCGGGCC